CUCUGGUCAGAUGAGCCAGGCUGAAAAAAUUCUUUGGAGCAGUUGAUGAGGAACAAACAAGGAUGAAGUUACCAGAUCAAAUGGCAUAAAUAAUGGAGCUUCUAGAGCUCUGGUGUCUAUUCUGUGGAAUUCUAAUCUGGUGGGCUGAAUGAUGUUGAACUCUUCCAAAGAAAGGUCCCACUAUAGUGUGUCUGGUUUUCACAAGAAAAAACACAAACUGUUAAAAGCCCUCAUUUUUUACUGUUCAUCAACUAAUUUGGAAAAUAAAAGUCUGAUUUUUGGAAUAAACCUUUACCGUUGCUUGCCAAAACAAACCAUGAUAAAUGUUUUACAGAAGAGCUGAAAUCUUUCAAAC
RNAcentral lists this long non-coding RNA (355 nucleotides) under Notechis scutatus (mainland tiger snake). RNAcentral's name for it is "lncRNA (ENSNSUG00000001979.1)". The record is from RNAcentral. Lineage: Eukaryota; Metazoa; Chordata; Lepidosauria; Squamata; Elapidae.